AAUCUGGUUGAUUCUGCCAGUAGUCAUACGCUCGUCUCAAAGAUUAAGCCAUGCAUGUCUAAGUAUAAACGAUUUUGUACUGUGAAACUGCGAAUGGCUCAUUAUAUCAGUUAUAGUUUAUUUGAUAGUCCCUUACUACAUGGAUACCCGUAGUAAUUCUAGAGCUAAUACAUGCAUCGACUCCCAACUGCUUCGGCGGACGGGACGUAUUUAUUAGAUUGAAACCAAUGCGGGGGAGACCCCGGUAUUGUGGUGAGUCAUGAUAACUUUGCGAAUCGCAUGGCCUUGUGCCGGCGAUGGAUCAUUCAAGUUUCUGCCCUAUCANNNNNNNNNNNNNNNNNNNNNNNNNNNNNNNNNNNNNNNNNNNNNNNNNNUGGCAAUUGGAAUGAGAACAAUUUAAAUCCCUUAUCGAGGAUCCAUUGGAGGGCAAGUCUGGUGCCAGCAGCCGCGGUAAUUCCAGCUCCAAUAGCGUAUAUUAAUGUUGUUGCAGUUAAAAAGCUCGUAGUUGGAUUCCUGGCACGGGGUAGCCGGUCCGCCUUGCAAAAGGUGCGCACUGAGCGGCCUCGGCCAUCCUUGCGAUGGUCUAUCCUGGCAUUCAGUUGUCGGGGUGGGGAUUCGCGACGUUUACUGUGAAAAAAUCAGAGUGUUCAACGCAGGCUUACGCCUUGAAUACAUUAGCAUGGAAUAAUGAGAUAGGACCUUGGCGGUCUAUUUUGUUGGUUUGCACGCCGAGGUAAUGAUUAAAAGGGACGGUUGGGGUUCUUCGUAUUCAAUUGUCAGAGGUGAAAUUCUUGGAUUUAUGGAAGACGAACUGCUGCGAAAGCGUCGAACAAGGACGUUCUCAUUAAUCAAGAACGAAAGUUAGGGGAUCGAAGAUGAUUAGAUACCAUCGUAGUCUUAACCAUAAACUAUGCCGAUUCAGGAUUGGCGGUCGUUUGUUCUCGACUCCGUCAGCACUGUAUGAGAAAUCAAAAUCUUUGGGUUCCGGGGGGAGUAUGGUCGCAAGGCUGAAACUUAAAGAAAUUGACGGAAGGGCACCACCAGGAGUAAACAUAACCUGUUUCAAAACGCACGGUUCUGCUCCAGCGCACAAGCAACGAUUGGUACUCUUCCGGCGCGCGUCCCCUCGACGCGUCCUUAGUUGCGUGUCUAUUGUGCGCUAGUCGCGCCGUUCCGCGAACUGCACGGGAACGGCGGCGGCAACAUCAUCGAAUUGCUGGGAACCCUCGAUAGGCCGGAGGUACUAAAGGCUCGGGGAAACCCGGGUCAAAUCGAGCUUAGACGCUCGCAGUAAAAACCCUUCGGAUAGAGGCAAUCAGCAGCCAAGCGCCUACAGCCGCGUGUAUUACAGUGUAUUACAGUUGGGUAUGCAUGUAUUACAAGUGGUCACGGUGAAGGUCCAGAGACUAAGUGGUGAUGGGUGCCGGCGCGGCCGACCGCGCCGGUGCUUAAGAUAUAGUCCACCCCUCUUGAGAGAGAGCUCAUCGGAUGAAGGAGCGUGCACUCCCCGAGCCUUUGAGGUCGACCGGUUGUAUUACACAUGUAAUACACCGGCCGAUGGAUUCAUUAGAACGUCGCUAGAGUGUUGUAAUACGCAUGCGUAUUACAAACUGUCUUUUGUGUAUUACACUUGUAAUACGGAGUGUAUUACACCUUGUAUUACAGAGUGUAUUACACGGUCUAUUGGGAAGGGCCUUGGGAAAUGUUGGGUUGGGAAGUGCUCAUCGUUGCUCCGAAGGAAUCAAGUGUUUACGUCGCCUGGUAAGACGGUCUAUAAAGGUUUGGCUGAAGCAAAGAAGGCUUUGCUUGGUCGAGCCGAAGCAGAUUCUGAUGCCGGCGGCGAGACCCUUGCGGACUCCGAUCCCAGCGCGUAUACCCUUGUAGACUCCGAGACCGGUGAGGACACCCAACCCUACCCGACCAAAGACAUGUAGUACAGAGUGUAAUACAGUUGUAAUACACAUGUAAUACAAGUCAUAGACAGUAUAAGAGACCCUCUAGCAGACCCUCUUUUAGUAAAGUGGGAGCCUGCGGCUUAAUUUGACUCAACACGGGGAAACUUACCAGGUCCAGACAUAGUAAGGAUUGACAGAUUGAGAGCUCUUUCUUGAUUCUAUGGGUGGUGGUGCAUGGCCGUUCUUAGUUGGUGGAGUGAUUUGUCUGGUUAAUUCCGUUAACGAACGAGACCCCCGCCUGCUAAAUAGCUGUGGGAAUGCGCUUGCAUUGCCUCAACUUCUUAGAGGGACUUUCGGUGACUAACCGAAGGAAGCUGGGGGCAAUAACAGGUCUGUGAUGCCCUUAGAUGUCCUGGGCCGCACGCGCGCUACACUGGCACACGCAACGAGUCUAUCACCUUGGUCGGCAGGCCUGGGUAAUCUGUGAACGUGUGCCGUGAUUGGGAUUGAUUGUUGCAAUUUUCAAUCAUGAACGAGGAAUUCCUAGUAAACGCGAGUCAUCAGCUCGCAUUGAUUACGUCCCUGCCCUUUGUACACACCGCCCGUCGCACCUACCGAUUGAAUGGUUCGGUGAAACCUCCGGACUGGGGUUCGCAAGCUUCACGGCGAACGUACCUCGGGAAGUUGGUUAAACCUCACUAUUUAGAGGAAGGUGAAGUCGUAACAAGGUCUCCGUAGGUGAACCUGCGGAGGGAUCAUUA
The sequence is a ribosomal RNA, 2656 nucleotides long. It matches the Rfam family "Eukaryotic small subunit ribosomal RNA". The record is from Rfam.